This is an RNA transcript of Balaenoptera ricei (Rice's whale), 1575 nucleotides long. It is a transcript of the gene named MAP3K7 C-terminal like, with no coding region annotated. The transcript has 8 exons. The record is from RefSeq and is a predicted model, not a curated record. Lineage: Eukaryota; Metazoa; Chordata; Mammalia; Artiodactyla; Balaenopteridae.
UGCUCCACAAAGGCAACGACCGGCCAAGGCAGUGGCUGGCCCUGGAUUACACAAGUGCAGACACUCAACUAAGUGAGGAACAGGUGGCUAACGAGAUGGUUGAUUCUAAGCAGACGAGACUACACAGAAAUCUGGAAGACCAGGAGGAAGGCCAAGGCUCAGGUGCCCACAUGAUCAGCACAGCCAGGGUACCUGCGGAUAAGCCAGUACGCAUUGCCUUCAGCCUCGAUAAUGCCUCAGAUGAUACACCUCCUGAAGAUGCCAUUCCUCUGGUCGUUCCAGAAUUAGACCAGCAGCUACAGCCUCUGCCGCCUUGUCACGACUCCAUGGAAUCCAUGCAGGUGUUCACACAGCACUGCCAGAUAGCAGAAGAAUACCGUGAGGUCAAAAAGGAAAUCGCCCUGCUUGAGGAAAGAAAAAAGGAGCUCAUUGCCAAGCUGGAUCAGGCAGAAAAGGAGAAGCUGGACGCCGCUCAGCUGGCUCGGGAAUUUGAGGCACUGACGGAGGAGAAUCGGACAUUGAAGCUGGCCCAGUCCCAGUGUAUAGAACAACUGGAGAAACUUAGAAUACAGUAUCAGAAGAGACAGGGCUCGUCCUAACUUGAAAUUAUUCAAUGUGAGCGUAAGAGGUUGGUGGCUGCUAUGCACUGGCCAAAAGAUUUUUUAUUUUAAAAGGAUAGUGAGUAAAAUCUAUUGCUUCUCCUUAUUACCCACAUGGCCGACGUCUAUACUAACGAGUUUAAUGCUUGCCUGAUAUAGUUUGAGAGAAGGGUUAUUUUAUUUUAAAUAAGGCAAUUAAAACAAACCUAUUACCAGAUGUUUUCAGAGAUCAUAAUUCGUUUCCAAAGAUGUUUUUUUUUUCUUAUUUAGCAAGAUACAAUCAUACUGUAGAUCCGGGUAGAAAAUGAUAGAAAUAGAACAUUGACUGAUUCUACUAAGAACCAUGAACAGAAUUCAGCCAUGAAACAAAGUAGUAAGAUGCUCACUGCAGUUUCAUAUCUGUGUAUUUUUAAAUUUCACAUCUUUAAUAUUUCUACGGUGCUCUAAUCUGAACUGUCAGAAACUCCUCCAAAUAUAUUUAUGUUCAUCAGAGUUAGGUUUAAUCCCUCAAUGAUUGAUUGUACUAAGAAUAAAUGGUUGCAUAUCAUAAAAGCUUUCUCAUGAAAAUAUUAGCGGAAAGCAUGUUUGUGCCAGAAGCACAUUUGCCAGUGCUAACUUGCUGUUGUAAUAAAAAGCUGAUAAGGCUGCAUUUUCUCCAUGCCACGUUACCUCCUGGUAAACAUCUCUGCCUUUGCUUGUGUGUGUUCUGGGAGAAAUGGAAAAGUAUUGUUUGGACAUUACUUUGCUGACUCUGUAGCAGUGCUCUUGCAGCUGCAAAAUCACUGUGGUUUGGAGCCAGGCCAGAAGAUGCAGGAAUUGACAUACCCAGAGACCUGGGCAUCAAGACGAGUUCAAGAAGUAGAAGAUGGAAGAAAAGUGAGAUACUUCCUUGGAGGAUGGGUGCUUCUGACCUGUGGCAAUAAUGAAUUCUUUUUUUUUUAAACAACAUCUUUAUUGGAGUAUAAUUGCUUCACAA